UACAGAGGGUGCAAGCGUUAAUCGGAAUUACUGGGCGUAAAGCGUGCGUAGACGGUUGCGUAAGUCAGAUGUGAAAGCCCCGGGCUCAACCUGGGAAUUGCAUUUGAGACUGCGUAGCUAGGGUGCGGAAGAGGGAAGCGGAAUUUCCGGUGUAGCGGUGAAAUGCGUAGAGAUCCGGAGGAACCCCAGAGGCGAAGGCGGCGCCCUGGCUCGCAACUGACGCUCAGACACGACAGCAUGGGGAGCGAACGGG
RNAcentral lists this ribosomal RNA (253 nucleotides) under uncultured bacterium. Its description in RNAcentral is "partial 16S ribosomal RNA". It matches the Rfam family "Bacterial small subunit ribosomal RNA", at positions 524 to 776 of the family's 1533-position model. The record is from RNAcentral.